This 505-nucleotide small RNA is filed under the name Arabidopsis thaliana (thale cress). RNAcentral's name for it is "ATSL121020". Lineage: Eukaryota; Viridiplantae; Streptophyta; Magnoliopsida; Brassicales; Brassicaceae. The record is from RNAcentral.
AGAAGAUUAACAAGUAUCAAUGUAUCAUCAAGGUACAUUAUUAGGGUUCUCUUUUCUCAAAGAUAUUGUUUAUACUUUUAGGGGGUGUUAUUCGUUAAUGGAUUUUAAUAGAAUUGAAAUCCAACACUAAUCCACUGUUAUUCAACUAAUGAUUCUAAAUCCAGCUUUAAAAUCUAGUGUUAUUGGAACUCAUAUUUGUAAAUCAUGCUUAAUAGAUUUUAAAGUUUGGUGUUAUUCAAUUAAGAUUUUAAAUAUUUCAUUAAAACCCAAUGUUAUUCAAAACUAAAAGACUUGUAAAAUCUUUGUAUAUUAAUUGAUUUGAAACGAAACCUUUUUGGAGUUUCAUGAGUAAAUCAUUAGAAUCAAAAUCCAAGACAUAUUGCAGAGAUUUUGAAAUUCAUACAAACAUAUUCUUAAAAGCAAUAUCAGAAAACAAAUCUAAAGCUUAAAGAAUUGACUUUAACUCCAUAAUUGAAUAACACCAUCUUAGAGUUUACUUUUUGUU